RNAcentral lists this ribosomal RNA (253 nucleotides) under uncultured bacterium. RNAcentral's name for it is "partial 16S ribosomal RNA". It matches the Rfam family "Bacterial small subunit ribosomal RNA", at positions 524 to 776 of the family's 1533-position model. The record is from RNAcentral.
UACGUAGGGUGCAAGCGUUAAUCGGAAUUACUGGGCGUAAAGCGUGCGCAGGCGGUUAUGUAAGACAGUUGUGAAAUCCCCGGGCUCAACCUGGGAACUGCAUCUGUGACUGCAUAGCUAGAGUACGGUAGAGGGGGAUGGAAUUCCCGGUGUAGCGGUGAAAUGCGUAGAGAUCGGGAGGAACAUCAGUGGCGAAGGCGGUCACCUGGCCUAAAACUGACGCUGAAGCUCGAAAGCGUGGGGAGCAAACAGG